GCCACAGGCAUUUUCUCCUAUAGUAUGAGUCUCAUUGCAGCCUGAGGGGUUAUCGGAUGUUCACGGCAACAAUCGGCCGUCUUCUAGUGCCAUUGGUACCAUUUCCUUCACAUUAUGUGAAAUCCCUUUGUUGCGGCUGCUAAAACACCGUCAGGAAACGCAGCUAAAACCUUCGCUCCACACUAUUGCAGGUAUCACUGGCACAUGGAGAAAGGGGUUGUCAUCAUUCAUGCUGGCAGACCCAUUUGGAUAUCAUGGCUAUUGCCUUCUUCCUCAAUUCCUUUUGUUCUAACCUUCUUGCUUUUCAGCCUCAUUAUAUCCCUUGGCAUCGCUGGACCCAACUAAAACCUCUGCUAAGGCACUGUUGUGGAGUGUUGCCUCAUUUUCUCCUCCCAACAUCCAACGCCUAUUAAAACCCUUUUCCCAACUCUCCUUCCAACUAUUUCACUCCAAGUACUCUCUCUCUCUCGGUUUUUUCCUCUACAUCUCAUUUUUUCUCUCCAUACCUACGGUAGCCAUGGGAAUGAAUGGGCUUGGAGUGAGUGAGAAUUGGUUGUUUUCUUGCAGACUACCUUUUUUUUUAUUUUUUAGACAUUUUAAAAUUUUUCAAUGAUUUUGUAGGCAUAGAACAUUAGAAAUUUACUACCAGAUUCAUGCUGAAAAUUGAAUCCAUUAAUAGGUUAUAAUGCAUGUUUCAGAAUAGGCUUAUAUUGCAACGUGUCAGAGAUAUGAACACUUCUUUUGUUGUUUCAUUGUGUAUGAAUGGGUUCAUUCUUCUCCAAGUUAAAAUUUUAUAAAGAAAAGAGGGUAAUUUCCAUCAAUUCCAUCAAAUCCCAUCAAACUAGGAAAGAUGUUUUCAGACAUCUUUAGCAAAUCCCAUCACACACUCAGCAAAAAUGAAACGAGCAGCAAAUUUCCUUUCCAUUUUUCCCGGAAACAUCUUUUCAUAAACUUAUUUCCAUUCCAAGAUUUUUGAAAUAUCAAAUUGUAUCUAAGAGAAAAAAACUGACACGGUUGAUGGAUAAUAUAAUUUAUAUAACUAUGUGACUGAAGGAGUCAGCCCAUGACUGAAGGAGUCCCAUGACACAGAUAAACAAAAGUGCAGGUGGUUCCUAGUCAAUUGUGCAUGUUAGCUAUUGUAUCACUACUUUGUUAUGAAAUUGGUACAUUUGAUCAAUACUUUGUUGACUAAUCAAUGUUUGUGCAGGUUUGGUUGUGUGUGCACAUCCUUAGUCAUCAUCCUAAUCAUGUGUCUACCAUCUCAUGCAUCAAUGCAUACCCAAGUUUCGCAAAGUGGGAAGGGAUGAGGAGAAAAAAACUAUGGAUAGAUCAACAUCUCCAAGGGGGAUUCCUCGUGCAUUGAUAAUGAACCAAUACAUUUAUUCGUAGUUGGUAUUUGGUGUGUAGUUAAAUAAGUACAAUUGAAGUGAUUGAAACAUCAUUCAAAUGGCGAUGUUUUGUUAUGUA
Long non-coding RNA from Nymphaea colorata (pocket water lily), 1467 nucleotides. RefSeq lists it as uncharacterized. Lineage: Eukaryota; Viridiplantae; Streptophyta; Magnoliopsida; Nymphaeales; Nymphaeaceae. The record is from RefSeq and is a predicted model, not a curated record. The transcript is spliced from 2 exons.